This 73-nucleotide transfer RNA is filed under the name Planctomycetota bacterium. RNAcentral describes it as "tRNA-Glu". It matches the Rfam family "tRNA". From Rfam's summary of the family: Transfer RNA (tRNA) molecules are approximately 80 nucleotides in length. Their secondary structure includes four short double-helical elements and three loops (D, anti-codon, and T loops). Further hydrogen bonds mediate the characteristic L-shaped molecular structure. tRNAs have two regions of fundamental functional importance: the anti-codon, which is responsible for specific mRNA codon recognition, and the 3' end, to which the tRNAs corresponding amino acid is attached (by aminoacyl-tRNA synthetases). tRNAs cope with the degeneracy of the genetic code in two manners: having more than one tRNA (with a specific anti-codon) for a particular amino acid; and 'wobble' base-pairing, i.e. permitting non-standard base-pairing at the 3rd anti-codon position. Lineage: Bacteria; Pseudomonadati; Planctomycetota. The record is from RNAcentral.
GGCCCCGUCGUCUAGCGGCCUAGGACAUCGCCCUUUCACGGCGGUAACACGGGUUCGAUUCCCGUCGGGGUCA